RNAcentral lists this ribosomal RNA (497 nucleotides) under uncultured bacterium. RNAcentral's name for it is "partial 16S ribosomal RNA". It matches the Rfam family "Bacterial small subunit ribosomal RNA", at positions 28 to 507 of the family's 1533-position model. The record is from RNAcentral.
GAUGAACGCUGGCGGCGUGCCUAAUACAUGCAAGUCGAGCGAACGGACGAGAAGCUUGCUUCUCUGAUGUUAGCGGCGGACGGGUGAGUAACACGUGGAUAACCUACCUAUAAGACUGGGAUAACUUCGGGAAACCGGAGCUAAUACCGGAUAAUAUUUUGAACCGCAUGGUUCAAAAGUGAAAGACGGUCUUGCUGUCACUUAUAGAUGGAUCCGCGCUGCAUUAGCUAGUUGGUAAGGUAACGGAUUACCAAGGCAACGAUGCAUAGCCGACCUGAGAGGGUGAUCGGCCACACUAGAACUGAGACACAGUCCAGACUCCUACGGGAGGCAGCAGUAGGGAAUCUUCCGCAAUGGGCGAAAGCCUGACGGAGCAACGCCGCGUGAGUGAUGAAGGUCUUCGGAUCGUAAAACACUGUUAUUAGGGAAGAACAUAUGUGUAAGUAACUGUGCACAUCUUGACGGUACCUAAUCAGAAAGCCACGGCUAACUACGUG